AUUGAACGCUGGCGGCAUGCUUUACACAUGCAAGUCGAACGGCAGCGCGGGCUUCGGCCUGGCGGCGAGUGGCGAACGGGUGAGUAAUACAUCGGAACGUGCCCAGUAGUGGGGGAUAGCUCGGCGAAAGCCGGAUUAAUACCGCAUACGACCUGAGGGUGAAAGCGGGGGAUCUUCGGACCUCGCGCUAUUGGAGCGGCCGAUGGCAGAUUAGCUAGUUGGUGGGGUAAAGGCCUACCAAGGCGACGAUCUGUAGCUGGUCUGAGAGGACGACCAGCCACACUGGGACUGAGACACGGCCCAGACUCCUACGGGAGGCAGCAGUGGGGAAUUUUGGACAAUGGGCGAAAGCCUGAUCCAGCAAUGCCGCGUGUGUGAUGAAGGCCUUCGGGUCGUAAAGCACUUUCGGCGGGAACGAAAAGGACUGUGCCAAUACCACGGUUCGAUGACGGUACCCGCAGAAUAAGCACCGGCUAACUACGUG
Molecule: ribosomal RNA, 484 nt
Filed under: uncultured bacterium
Lineage: Bacteria
Description: partial 16S ribosomal RNA
Rfam family: Bacterial small subunit ribosomal RNA
Source: RNAcentral